Camelus dromedarius (Arabian camel) is the source of this 102-nucleotide small nuclear RNA. The record is from Ensembl. NCBI's taxonomy places the organism in Eukaryota, Metazoa, Chordata, Mammalia, Artiodactyla, Camelidae.
GUGCUCGCCUUGGCAGCACAUACACUAAAAUUGGAAUGACAGAGAUUAGCAUUGCCCCUGAGCAAGGAUGACAUACAAAUUCGUGAAACGUUCCAUAUUUUU